UAAUGGUUCACCUCGAAAAGAUCGAAUG
Molecule: non-coding RNA, 28 nt
Filed under: Bombyx mori (domestic silkworm)
Lineage: Eukaryota; Metazoa; Arthropoda; Insecta; Lepidoptera; Bombycidae
Source: RNAcentral